This 350-nucleotide unclassified non-coding RNA is filed under the name fungal sp. RNAcentral describes it as "partial internal transcribed spacer region". The stretch from base 1 to 46 matches the Rfam family "Eukaryotic small subunit ribosomal RNA", at positions 1786 to 1831 of the family's 1831-position model. The record is from RNAcentral. Lineage: Eukaryota; Fungi.
AAGUCGUAACAAGGUUUCCGUAGGUGAACCUGCGGAAGGAUCAUUAUCGAAUCGUAAGAACUUUGGCUGUCGCUGGCUCUCUCUCUCUGGGAGCAUGUGCACGCCGAGUUCAAACCUUUCACUUCAACCUCCUGUGCACUUUUGUGAAUCGCGGAUAGAUUAAUUCUGUCAAAGUAACAUUUGGUUUUGGGGUCUGCAUUAUCUCUGUAACGCUUUCCCCUACAAUUUCUCCGCGGUUCAUGUCUUUUUUACAAACUAUACAAUAAAUCUAGAAUGCUUAACAAGUUGGGAAACUUUUGUAACCCUUCUUAAAUUUUAUACAACUUUCAACAACGGAUCUCUUGGCUCUC